ACUUUCGUAACUUGUGUGAUCAGAGUAUUGAUAUGUAAAGCCAAAGGUUUCGAGUUCGAUUCCCGACGAGAGUG
Molecule: transfer RNA, 74 nt
Filed under: Agrilus planipennis (emerald ash borer)
Lineage: Eukaryota; Metazoa; Arthropoda; Insecta; Coleoptera; Buprestidae
Rfam family: tRNA
About the family: Transfer RNA (tRNA) molecules are approximately 80 nucleotides in length.
Source: Rfam by way of RNAcentral